AUUGAACGCUGGCGGAAUGCUUUACACAUGCAAGUCGAACGGCAGCACGGGGGCAACCCUGGUGGCGAGUGGCGAACGGGUGAGUAAUACAUCGGAACGUGCCCGGUCGUGGGGGAUAACGUAGCGAAAGUUACGCUAAUACCGCAUACGAUCUGAGGAUGAAAGCGGGGGACCUUCGGGCCUCGCGCGAUCGGAGCGGCCGAUGUCAGAUUAGGUAGUUGGUGGGGUAAAGGCCUACCAAGCCGACGAUCUGUAGCUGGUCUGAGAGGACGACCAGCCACACUGGGACUGAGACACGGCCUAGACUCCUACGGGAGGCAGCAGUGGGGAAUUUUGGACAAUGGGCGCAAGCCUGAUCCAGCCAUUCCGCGUGCAGGACGAAGGCCUUCGGGUUGUAAACUGCUUUUGUAUGGAACGAAAAGGCUCUGGCUAAUACCUGGGGCUCAUGACGGUACCGUAAGAAUAAGCACCGGCUAACUACGUG
Molecule: ribosomal RNA, 484 nt
Filed under: uncultured bacterium
Lineage: Bacteria
Description: partial 16S ribosomal RNA
Rfam family: Bacterial small subunit ribosomal RNA
Source: RNAcentral